GUUGUUGUAGCCGAGCUGGUAAGGUGUUCAGCUCACAACCAAAGGGGCGCAGGUUCGAAUCCUGCUGGCGGCA
This is a non-coding RNA of Rhipicephalus sanguineus (brown dog tick), 73 nucleotides long. The record is from the annotation of a RefSeq genome assembly. Lineage: Eukaryota; Metazoa; Arthropoda; Arachnida; Ixodida; Ixodidae.